RNAcentral lists this non-coding RNA (45 nucleotides) under Schistosoma haematobium. Lineage: Eukaryota; Metazoa; Platyhelminthes; Trematoda; Strigeidida; Schistosomatidae. The record is from RNAcentral.
AUCCAGCUGACACGUCCCAAGUAGGACGAAACGCGUGUCCUAGAU